CAUUAAGAAGCUAUGUAGCAGCACUAGCCUUUUAAGCUGGAGAAAGAGGACACCAACACCUCCUUAAUGA
This 70-nucleotide transfer RNA is filed under the name Phoebastria albatrus. Its description in RNAcentral is "tRNA-Lys". Lineage: Eukaryota; Metazoa; Chordata; Aves; Procellariiformes; Diomedeidae. The record is from RNAcentral.